AGAGAGAGGCAGAGAGUGGUUGACGCCACUGCAUUCUCACCAGAUUGCAUAAUUAAUGGAAAUAAAUAUAAAUGACGAUUCUUUCUGAAAAAAUAUAAAUGUAAACGUGUGAAUACAUUGUUAUUUCUCCAAGUGUGGACGUUGUUUAGUGAAGCCAUGUGAUCACAAAUAAAUGGGAGAAAACGCGAUUGAAUAGGCCUAUGAACAGGUAUGAAAAAGAAGACAUGCAUGAAAGAGAUGAUGGGAUAUAAAAGAGCACAAGAUCUUAUGAGUUUUGUAAUGAGGAAUACUACGCAAGAUCUUUGCGUCGUGGCCAGUUGUUAAUGACUGGAUGCCGGUCUCGAGGGAUCGCCCCGGUUCUGUCAUACUGGAAAACAUCCUCAGGACUGUGGGCCAGUGAAGCUCAAAGAGUCGCAAACACAGCCUGGAGUGGAUCCACACAACACUGGCCGUGUCUAACAGACCUGCUCUCACCCCAGGAUCUAAUUACUUACUCUCAUCUCUCCUAUCAUCUCCCGCUUCCUCCAGCAGGGUCCCAAGGGUCUCUUGAGCUCAGACCCACACAUAACACACUGACAUGGGGGGAGAGCUCAACCUCUGGCCCGACAACUGCUAGAAUCCAUAUGAAAGCAUCUUAUAGUUCAUACAGAGGCUGAUAUUUUGUCUUGAUAAUGUUAAAUGAAAUCUGAGAUUUAUACUAAAUUGGUUAAUACUUUAGGCUA
This is a long non-coding RNA of Sinocyclocheilus anshuiensis, 722 nucleotides long. RefSeq lists it as uncharacterized. The transcript is spliced from 3 exons. The record is from RefSeq and is a predicted model, not a curated record. NCBI's taxonomy places the organism in Eukaryota, Metazoa, Chordata, Actinopteri, Cypriniformes, Cyprinidae.